Nicotiana attenuata is the source of this 1523-nucleotide RNA transcript. It is a transcript of the gene named tRNA (guanosine(18)-2'-O)-methyltransferase, with no coding region annotated. The transcript has 7 exons. NCBI's taxonomy places the organism in Eukaryota, Viridiplantae, Streptophyta, Magnoliopsida, Solanales, Solanaceae. The record is from RefSeq and is a predicted model, not a curated record.
AUCCCCGGCAAAAUCACCAUUUCCAACUCUCCGACUAGUAGUGAGGUAAGUGAGAAGAAUCCUCCCAUCAAGUUAAUGCCAUGAGCGCCUGCAAAACCCUAUUUCGCUCUUCAAUUUCGUUUAUUGAGUUCAAAACUCGAAGCAGUUAUCAGAGAAGUUUCUCUUCUCAUUUUUCAUCCAAUUUCUCUCCUUUUAACGCACUGCGUCUACUCUCUCCUAAUCCAGGAUUUAGAAUCAAACCGUGUAGAGCUACUUCAAGACUAUAUGGCUGCACUCAAGGAGCAAUUUCACUGGAAACUUCGGACAAUGCGGAGGAAAUGACAGUUCCGCAUGUCGCCGUAGAAAUUCCGGAGGAAAAAUCGGAAGAUACAGUAGAAGAGUUGCUUUCCAAUAGAGACGAUGUAACAAAAUUUAUGAAAAUGGAACGCAGGUCCAAUACUGAAGGCCAGGGUCAUCAGGACCGUUGGUUUCCGUAUUUGGAUAGAUUUAAGGCGGGAAAUGUGGAUUUGAAUAGCGCAGAGAUAUUGGAAGCUUUGAACCCGGUUAUAAUGGAUUCAAGGAAAGAGAGGUUUAGAAAUGCUGUGAUGAAUCGGACAUAUUCUGUAUGUUUAGUGGUGGAAGGUUUGAGUGAUUUUGGCAAUAUUUCAGCUGCGUUUCGGUCAGCUGAUGCACUGGGCAUUCAGUCAGUCCAUGUUGUAGCGUGUGACUGUUCGAAAAGGUACAGGGAGAAUCGCCAUGUCAGCAUGGGAGCUGAGAAAUGGUUGGACAUCGAACUUUGGGAUUCUGUCCUUGAGUGUUUCAAAGUUUUGAAAUCACGUGGUUAUCGUAUUGCAACAACACAUCUUGGAAUGGACACAGUUUCUGUAUACGAUAUGGACUGGUCAUGCCCAACUGCAAUUGUUGUUGGAAAUGAACUUAGGGGAAUUAGUGAUGAGGCUCUUGAAUUAUCAGACUUGCACUGCAGUAUUCCAAUGAAAGGCAUGGUAGACUCAUUCAAUGUAUCUGUUGCUGCUGGCCUACUUAUGCAUCAUGCCGUCUGUGACAGAACUUCUCGCUUGGGAUGUCAUGGAGAUCUAACUAGUGAAGAGAGCCAAAUCUUGCUGGCAGAAUUCACUUUGCGCCACAGCAAUAGUGCAAUUAGGAUUGCUCAUGAAUAUGCAAAAAGGAAGAUACCUGAGCUUAAAUCAAAGCUGUGAAUAACUGGUCAAACUAGUUUCCUGAAGGAAGUUGUUUUAGCCUAUUUGCACGUGGAAACUUCACAGGUGUUGUUAGAUGAAAGAGGGUGUUUAUCUAGUGGAGAUUUGGUGGUUUUUCGCAACUAUUGUUGCUGCUUUUUUCGGCUAGCUCGGGAUUAGUUUUGGCUCGACGAAUAUAGGCGAAGCUCUGGAGGUUAUGGGCAGUAUAUUUUUUGAUGAAAGGCAAUAUUUUUUAGUGAUUUAAGGUGGCUUAGUUUGAGUUUUAGUGACUGAUUUUCAUGAAAGCUAUGGUGUUUUCAUGGUGGUUUGCACUUGAAAGAAGAAGAG